This 1035-nucleotide long non-coding RNA is filed under the name Numida meleagris (helmeted guineafowl). Its description in RNAcentral is "lncRNA (ENSNMEG00000017999.1)". Lineage: Eukaryota; Metazoa; Chordata; Aves; Galliformes; Numididae. The record is from RNAcentral.
AUGGGGGGGGGCACGUCCUUCCUAGCCGGGCACCCCGCACCCAGUCCUCCUCUCACGGCCCCAUCCGCAGAGGGACGCUGCAGAGCCGGCACGGCGGGUGGCACGCUGCCCCACGGCUGCGGCCCCUUUGGGCGCAGAGCAGCGCAUUCGCAGGGUGCCGCGGCACCAGCGCCCGGCGGGGCACGGAGCACGGCCGUCCCCACGGCACCGCGGGACCCACAGAUGGAGGACAGAGGAGGUGCUGGGACGGCGGCUGCGCCCCGUGCUGGGUGUGCAGUGGGAGAUCCGGGCAGCCGGGGGGUGGCGGUGCCAGCGCUGGUGCGGGGUAGCGCGUUGCGGGAGCUCACCCGUCACCACCGCUCUCUUGGCAGGCAGCUCACAGCCGGCCGCGGCGCGACGGAGCCCAGCACCUGCGCGUCCGUUGCUCGGCACAGGGGGCCGGGCCUCGGCGCUCCGGGCACCCCUCUAGUCCGGCACGGCGCGGCACCCCUUCCCGGAGGUGCUGGGGGAUUUGGGUACCCAGGUGCCCGCGCGGGAACCCUGCCUGCAGCCACGGAGCACUGUCCUCAGACCUCACGCUGCUCCCGGUGCCCGCAGGGAUUCACAGGAGCGGCCGCACAGGCUGGGGCUCAUCCAUGGGCAGCAGGGCAGGGCCAGCACCAAGCUGUCAGGGCUGCGCUGCCCAGCCGCUGCUCCGGAGGGUGGGCACAGACGGAGGCAGAAUCCUUCCCAUCACUGCCCGAGAACCCUUUCCCUUCCUCUUGGCACCCCCCUUCCAGGGACCUCCGGGGCACAGCCUCACCCCCCCAGCUCGGUGCAUCCCACAGAGGGCUCAGCACCGGGGCAGGCAGCAGGGCAGCGCUGGUGCUCGUGGGGCAGCCGGGAAGCUGCCGUGCCAGCUGUCAGCGCGAGCGCGGCAGACGCAACCUGCCCAGGGCUGUUUGUUCUGGCUGGGUGCCACGCGGGGCUGGCACUACAUCAAACCUGGCGGAGCCUGGCAGGUGCCGGUGGGAGGGGUCGGGGCGCUGCUGGUGA